UACAGAGGUCUCAAGCGUUGUUCGGAUUCAUUGGGCGUAAAGGGUGUGUAGGUGGCGCCGUAAGUCGGGUGUGAAAUUUCGGAGCUUAACUCCGAAACUGCAUCCGAUACUGCGGUGCUUGAGGACUGGAGAGGAGACUGGAAUUCAUGGUGUAGCAGUGAAAUGCGUAGAGAUCAUGAGGAAGACCAGUGGCGAAGGCGGGUCUCUGGACAGUUCCUGACACUGAGGCGCGAAAGCGUGGGGAGCAAACAGG
This 253-nucleotide ribosomal RNA is filed under the name uncultured bacterium. RNAcentral's name for it is "partial 16S ribosomal RNA". It matches the Rfam family "Bacterial small subunit ribosomal RNA", at positions 524 to 776 of the family's 1533-position model. The record is from RNAcentral.